AACGAAGGGAGCUAGCGUUGUUCGGAAUCACUGGGCGUAAAGCGCACGUAGGCGGAUUUGUCAGUCAGGGGUGAAAUCCCGGGGCUCAACCUCGGAACUGCCUUUGAUACAGCAAGUCUUGAGUUCGAGAGAGGUGGGUGGAAUUCCUAGUGUAGAGGUGAAAUUCGUAGAUAUUAGGAAGAACACCGGUGGCGAAGGCGGCCCACUGGCUCGAUACUGACGCUGAGGUGCGAAAGCGUGGGGAGCAAACAGG
This 253-nucleotide ribosomal RNA is filed under the name uncultured bacterium. Its description in RNAcentral is "partial 16S ribosomal RNA". It matches the Rfam family "Bacterial small subunit ribosomal RNA", at positions 524 to 776 of the family's 1533-position model. The record is from RNAcentral.